Rhipicephalus microplus (southern cattle tick) is the source of this 4602-nucleotide long non-coding RNA. RefSeq lists it as uncharacterized. The record is from RefSeq and is a predicted model, not a curated record. Lineage: Eukaryota; Metazoa; Arthropoda; Arachnida; Ixodida; Ixodidae.
AAAGUGAUAUAAACUCAUAUUUAUUUGAAACUUGCUUCAUUUAUUUGUACUCAAACUUUAUUUCUAAAAGCUUUCGUGUUGAGGGGGCAAAAGUGAUACCUGGGAAAAUUUAAACCUGAGUAUGCAUUGCUCUGCCAUUGCGUUCCAGAUUUGGCAUUAAGAUUUAAUUAAUUAUUUUUUACCACACAUGAAAACAAGCAUGAUUGUUUUUCUCUUUGAAAAUACACAUUAUGUAUUUAUAGAAAUAACAGUACAGUACGUGUCAAUUGAGAAACGCUUAACGUUUCGUCUUAUGAAAUGUUACGUGCGUCUGUCCAAGCAACGCCUCCUAGGAGGCAUUGGUGCAAGUGGUCUGCCCCCAGCGCACCUCUGGUUUUGUUGUGAAGUCGAGUCAGCGAAGCCUGACGGUGCGUCUGGCUAGCUUCGUUAUCUUUUUGUAGUCGAUUUAUAACGAGUUUAGGCAUGGCGUGCUUGUGAAAAAACAUGAACUCGGUGUAAUAUUCUGCACUAGCAUGAGACUCUACAUUUAUUCCCAGCGAUGAGUAAACGACACCUCAUUUAAACUGUCAAAUACGACUUGUAAAGAUUCAAUGUCGUGGCAAACUUAAGAUCUACUGGCCUUAACCAUUUUGGAACAACAAUGAUGCUGCUUCAGUGCUUUUCAUCGCACCCCACUGCCCGUGCUGCACGAAAAACGAAACUAAAACUGUGGAAAAAAGUCUGUGAACAGUUCGCUAGCUAACCCUAUUCAUACCGAAGCCUGUACUUCCCAUAAUUCCCAUGGAGGUACUCAAUAUUAGCGCCAGAUUUCUCUCUAGGUAUUAUUUUAUGAAACUCUAUGGUUCGAGGUAAUCAAUCAAAAUUCAUUUGUAAGCAACCUGCUCAACUGUGUAACUUACAAUUUUGCACAAGUGACUGAAGUUUACAAGGGAAUGUAUGCAGUGAAUUUCAGUGAGAUCCAUACACGUAAAAAAAAGUCAUCAGAGCUAACAUUCAAGUAAGCAUAUAAAGUUCGUCCUAUAAAGCCUUCAAGCAAAUCAGCCCUUGUUUUGUGCAAGAAGCACCUCCCCAUCUGUUUUAACGUAUUGUUAUGUUAAAGAAUUUGAGUGUGCUGUAAUGUGGCUUACGACUGACAGUGUUAUUCUCACGUAACAAUAUCACUAGUGCACAUAAGGAAUUUCAGCACUGACAAAUUCUUCGUUUAUGCAAGCACAUUUUCUUGUGAAAGCCCUUCAACAACAACGUUCCUCCUUAACCUUGAGCUCGUCCUGCUCAUUUAAUUUUCUUUUGUAUACUCUAAUUAUAUGCCCUCUUGUAUUUAAUGUUUCAACCUUCCCAAAGUGGCCAAUGCACUCUGCUAAGGGAUUUCCCCUCCGCCCCCACCACCUGUACUUGUGCAGGUCUUCCUGAAAGCCCUGGUGCCCUUUCUCUGGGCACGCACAGGCGCUGCCAGCUGCUGCAGUGUAAUUACUGCCCAUUUGUGAGCCGCUUUGAGAGUGCCAUCCGCAGGCACCAGCUACGGCACACCAAGGAGAGGCCCCACCGGUGCGAGUUCUGCCCAAAGAGCUUCCAGCGCAGGUAUCAGCUGACUCAGCACAUGGCGAUCCGUCAUGGCACCAAGCCGCUACCAAUUACUCGGCAAAAGGUGCAAGACUUUGGUGACCACAUGGCCUCGCUCGAUCCCGCUAAUGACUUGUCUGAAUUCAAGUGGAUAUGAAUGUAAACAUGUUCCAAUUCUAAAGGAGGGCGCAAAGAAAUCGACCGAGCCGUGAGGUGUUCCAGACGGGCGGUUGUCAAGUCUUCCAAGGUUUUGAAAUGCCGGUGAAUCCUUGAAUUCUGACUGUGAGACCUAGUGCAUUUGAUGUUCCAAGAAGCUUUGUACGAAGCUCAUUAAUGUAAAUACAUUGGGCUUGUACAGAGCUCGUAGGUGUACAUACAUUGGGCUCCGUCCAUACUGAAUAAAAAGUCUUUUCGUUGAAAGCUUUGUUAAAGCACAAAGCAUUGCAGCUGGCAAUGCUGAUUUGGUUUUAGUUUGGAUAGUGCGAAAUAGGGUCAAAUUUGGCUCUACUUAAUUUCUCACUGCACAAUGUGUGUGCGUGUGCACGAAAGGCUACCAAUAACUCUCUGCAGUCACAGUGUUUAUAAGUGCUCACAAUCGUGGCUUACUUUGCAUCAGGUUGGUUCUUCACCAUGCUCUAAACUGAGUAAUAACCGAGCCAUUAUUAUAACUCUCACUUCAGUCACUUUUGCACGAUUAACAGAGUUCGCUGUCUUUUCUUACCUUGUCAAGCACGAGUGGUUUGAUAAGUGGCUACUUGACUACCACUUAGAACACUCCAUGGAGUGCAUACAGUUGUUGAAAAGCUGAGCAAAUAAAUGCCAAAGGGUAGCUCGUUAUCGUAACAUAACAGUAUUUUUGUCAAACAAAGUUCCUUGAACAUAUAAGGUUGACUACUUAGACUAUUAGGUAGACUGCUGCUGUUUUCACAUGCUGCAACAUCCAGCAAAGAUUGAGGUAGUUUCGAUGCCAGACAUGUUCACAGAGUACCUGUAUGUGACUAACCAGAAAUCAAUAGGUUUUUGAAAUUAUUUGAAUGCUUUGAAUUAAAUUUAAGUUAUUAUAAAUUUUCAAGUAUUUGAAACGAACGAAUAGAUGAUUAUUAAGCUGUGUGGAAUCCCUGUAAAGGUGGUUUAAUUGCAGUGGAGGGGUGCUUACCCAUGAAAGCACCUAGCCAGAUGUCUAUAUUUAGUCGGCAUGUAAUUUUCUGUAAACGUGGUAUUCACUCCUUGCAAUAUAUUUUCACGAUGUUAAGCCAUGAAAAUGUAGUCUAGGGAGAAUCUGCACUGGCACGAAGCUCCUCUUCAAGGUUAAAUGAAGCGAUCACCCUGACAUCGAUUUAUUUUACAAGUUUAAAAACUUGUUCUACUGACUUAUAUGCUUUAAGUAUAGCAAAUUUUAAAACAUAACAUACUUUAUAGGUUAUCAGCUUGUAUUCUACCAGAAGUCAUGUAUCCUGCUACAAUUCAAAGUUGCCUCCACUUUCUUUGAUGUAAAAAUAAUGACAAUUACACAGGCCUUGUUUCAGUUUCAAAACUUAUUGUGCAUAUUAUUUAAGUGGAUACUUUAAAUUAAGUGGAUACUUUAAAUUAAGUGGAACUAAAAAUAUGUCAAUAUUUCUUUAUUAUAUAAUAUGCAAUAUGUGUAAUGCUUGAUUCGAAUUUAUUUGGCCAAAAUCAGUAUUUGCUUAGAACUUGAAAUGCACUAUUUGCACGAGCCUAAAUCAUUGUCAACAUUCUUUUUUUUCUUUUCAAGCAAACUGGAACUGAUAGUAGCCUGCUGUAUGCAGUAGGGUAAAUACUGCUGAAAAGUGCAUUUCACAAAAAGUUGCCGCUUUGCCUGAAGGCAAGAUAUCGAUAAGCGUCUAACAGUCAUAAAAAGAGCUAGAUUUAUCGUCCCUGUACAUGGCAGUGAGCAUUUAUGCACAAGUUAAUUCACUCACUAUGGUGUGAAUAUGUGCACAGGCAAACAUGAGCACAUUUCAUCUUACAACUGUGAACUUUGAUUUUCAUAUUGCUCGCACGGUGAGCCGUGCUAACAGAGGUGAGCAGAAAGUUGCAGCAUUAGAUGUGUAGAGGGAUGCUGUAAGAGAAGAGGCUUGCAUGAGGCCCUCAGGUUGCUCAACCCUUGGAACGAGCAUAGAUUACAAUCGGAUUGGGUGGGCACGCAUUAGAAGAACAUUUUUUUCGGAAAGCCUUUGCUAAAGUAGGGGGCAUCAUCAUUUACAUCAUUGACAUCGUUUAAUGCUGGGCUGACUGAAAGAGGUACUCACGCGUCCAGCCCCCCACACCGCCCCGUCCCUGUCAAGACUGCAUGCUCUUUCUCAUGCUUUCUCUCAACUCUGUAUAGUUGGCGCAUGUGAGAUGCAGUGAAGUCUGUUUCACACUUUGACUGUAGCCUUGUAGUUACGCCAUACGUACAUGGCAUAUCACUCAGAUUUAAAAAGGUUGUGGCCAGGAUUAAUGCCAAACUGGUCUGUUCUGCACUCAGCACGCUCACAGGUCGUGCUGAGUGCAGAACAGGGUUGUGCUGAAAGAGGGGUGUGCUGCUUGGCACAAAAAGGAGGAUUUGCAACAUAAAACAUGUCAAGAAAUACUGCACGUGUAACACAUGUGCAGUGUAUUGCAGUACCUUUAAGUUGUGACAAGUUUUGCAUUGGACUAGUCUGGUUGAUGUAUCAAUGAUCAGUUGAGGGAACAUGAAAAUAUUCUAUUUUCAGGCACUGGCGUAACUUGCAUUUGUAUUGCAAGUUGUUUGGUUGAACGCCCCUGUUUGAUAAGGUUACAAUUUUAGGUAAGGCUAAGAUGCAGCGAGAAACGAGAAAUUGUUAGGCAUUCCAUAUCUGGAAACUUCAUCCAAACAAAUGUGUUAGUGCAGCUUCAGUUUUUCUCACCAGGAAAGAAUGUUUCUUUCUAGCACAGAGGUGUUCUGCUUAGAUUAGCUUGUUUUUUUAUGCCUUGUUUUUUUUGUUAUCUCCACAUGUGCUGUACGGACCUGGGAGGAAGGGUUUUUUUUCUAAAUAAACGUCAUUUGUUAGUGCCACA